AAAACACGAGCACGAUCCUGCCUCCCUCGAUCCCAUCUCCACCUCCCUAGCGCCGCCACCUCCUGCAACGCGACACCCGGCAUCACCGUGCGCCGCCGGCCACCGCGCGCCACCGCCGCCCAUCCAGCCGGCGCGCCUACCCCUACCCCACGUGCCCCCACACCCAUAGCCUUCCACCGUCAGUUACAAUCGACGCCGCGCACGACCCUGCCUCACCACGCGCCGCCGGCCCGCCCCCGUGGGUGCACGCCGUCGGACCCCCGCGCCCCGUCGCCACGCGCUACCGGAGUGCCUACCGUCGCCGGCUCUCCCCGCCUCGGGGUCUCAUCUCUCCCUGAGAUCCUCUCCAACCGGGCCCAUCCGCCACCCCCAGCCUCCUCAAUAUGCAACCUCCUGCUCCCCAGCGGGCGCGAGGAUCUCGGAUCGCCGUCGCCCUUCGGGAGCUCCCUCUCCUCCCUGCCUUCUUUCCAUGGCGUGAGGCCGUGAGGGACCAAGUGGCCUACGUCAUCACGAUGGAGCUAUUGUGCUGUUGCGUGUCCUCGGGUCUCCAGGGGCGUCCUCGGUCCCAGCCACCCAUCAUCCAGAUUCAGCGUCCUCUCUCCUUUUUCUGUUUAAUGUGAGUAAGCCUCCACUACCCGCUCCCAACUAUGCAAAAUUUGCAGCUGUGGUUGACAUGGGUGACGCCUUGAUGCAAAGGUACAGGCUUACAUACGUGUUGCUGGCCGCUGCCCUAUUACCCCCACCACCAGCAGGGUCGCCCAUGACCAGGGCCCCCAAGCUACGGAGUGACAUGCUGCUGCUGCCCACCACCAUCUGUGAGACAUCGAAAUCUAGGAAGAUAAAUUGUCACCUAAUUUAAAUAAGGCUGCGAGUUGAAAUCAAUAAGCAGCUUGGGAUCAAUCGCAAGGGUGAGGAGUGGGUCCGUUAAUCCCUAUGGGAACAAAAAUAUCACCCAACCGAGGAGGAAGAAGGUGAGGUGCUGAGGAGGAGAAUGGAUGGAGUAAGAAGACCCAACCGAUGAGGAAGAAGAUGCCGCUGGGUGUGAAGCAGCAGGACGAGGAAGAUGGAGGAGCGGCGCUGGGAGGAAGAAAGAACAACUGAGGAGAGGCGGCACAUUACAAAAUAUCUCUCCCGCGACAGCAGUACAAAAUUACUUUUUGCAUUACCAAACUGUACUAUGUGGCAAACUGUCCUCGGUUUCUUUUUAUAUAUGGUUUUCUUGAGAACCAUGCA
This is a long non-coding RNA of Aegilops tauschii subsp. strangulata, 1233 nucleotides long. RefSeq lists it as uncharacterized. The record is from RefSeq and is a predicted model, not a curated record. Lineage: Eukaryota; Viridiplantae; Streptophyta; Magnoliopsida; Poales; Poaceae.